RNAcentral lists this ribosomal RNA (460 nucleotides) under uncultured bacterium. RNAcentral's name for it is "partial 16S ribosomal RNA". It matches the Rfam family "Bacterial small subunit ribosomal RNA", at positions 338 to 795 of the family's 1533-position model. The record is from RNAcentral.
CCUACGGGAGGCAGCAGUGAGGAAUAUUGGUCAAUGGGCGUAAGCCUGAACCAGCCAAGUAGCGUGAGGGAUGAAGGUUCUAUGGAUCGUAAACCUCUUUUAUAAGGGAAUAAAGUGUGGGACGUGUCCUAUUUUGUAUGUACCUUAUGAAUAAGGAUCGGCUAACUCCGUGCCAGCAGCCGCGGUAAUACGGAGGCUCCGAGCGUUAUCCGGAUUUAUUGGGUUUAAAGGGUGCGUAGGUGGGCUGUUAAGUCAGCGGUGAAAGUCUGUGGCUCAACCAUAGAAUUGCCGUUGAUACUGGGGGGCUUGAGUAUAUUUGAGGCAGGCGGAAUGCGUGGGGUAGCGGUGAAAUGCUUAGAUAUCACGAAGAACCCCGAUUGCGAAGGCAGCCUGCCAAGCCAUGACUGACGCUGAUGCACGAAAGCGUGGGGAUCAAACAGGAUUAGAUACCCGAGUAGUC